CAAUAGCGUAUAACUAAAGUUGUUGCAGUUAAAAAGCUCGUAGUUGAACUUCAGCCCUGGCCGGGCAGGUCUGCCUCACGGUAUAGUACUAGUCUGGCUAGGGAGCUUACCUCUUGGUGAGCUCGCAUGUCGUUUACUCGGCGUGCGAGGGAACCAGGACUUUUACUUUGAGAAAAUUAGAGUGUUCAAAGCAGGCAAAUGCCCGAAUACAUUAGCAUGGAAUAAUGGAAUAGGACGUGCGGUUCUAUUUUGUUGGUUUCUAGAGUCGCCGUAAUGAUUAAUAGGGACAGUUGGGGGCAUUAGUAUCGAGUUGCUAGAGGUGAAAUUCUUGGAUUUACUCAAGACUAACUUCUGCGAAAGCAUUUGCCAAGGAUGUUUUCAUUAAUCAAGAACGAAGGUUAGGGGAUCGAAAACGAUCAGAUACCGUUGUAGUCUUAACAGUAAACUAUGCCGCU
This 455-nucleotide ribosomal RNA is filed under the name uncultured eukaryote. Its description in RNAcentral is "SSU rRNA". It matches the Rfam family "Eukaryotic small subunit ribosomal RNA", at positions 592 to 1046 of the family's 1831-position model. The record is from RNAcentral.